AACGCUGGCGGCGUGCUUAACACAUGCAAGUCGAACGGAAAGGCCCUGCUUUUGUGGGGUGCUCGAGUGGCGAACGGGUGAGUAACACGUGAGUAACCUGCCCUUGACUUUGGGAUAACUUCAGGAAACUGGGGCUAAUACCGGAUAGGAGCUCCUGCUGCAUGGUGGGGGUUGGAAAGUUUCGGCGGUUGGGGAUGGACUCGCGGCUUAUCAGCUUGUUGGUGGGGUAGUGGCUUACCAAGGCUUUGACGGGUAGCCGGCCUGAGAGGGUGACCGGCCACAUUGGGACUGAGAUACGGCCCAGACUCCUACGGGAGGCAGCAGUGGGGAAUAUUGCACAAUGGGCGGAAGCCUGAUGCAGCAACGCCGCGUGCGGGAUGACGGCCUUCGGGUUGUAAACCGCUUUCGCCUGUGACGAAGCGUGAGUGACGGUAAUGGGUAAAGAAGCACCGGCUAACUACGUGCCAGCAGCCGCGGUGAUACGUAGGGUGCGAGCGUUGUCCGGAUUUAUUGGGCGUAAAGGGCUCGUAGGUGGUUGAUCGCGUCGGAAGUGUAAUCUUGGGGCUUAACCCUGAGCGUGCUUUCGAUACGGGUUGACUUGAGGAAGGUAGGGGAGAAUGGAAUUCCUGGUGGAGCGGUGGAAUGCGCAGAUAUCAGGAGGAACACCAGUGGCGAAGGCGGUUCUCUGGGCCUUUCCUGACGCUGAGGAGCGAAAAGCGUGGGGAGCGAACAGGCUUAGAUACCCUGGUAGUCCACGCUGUAAACGGUGGGUACUAGGUGUGGGGUCCAUUCCACGGGUUCCGUGCCGUAGCUAACGCUUUAAGUACCCCGCCUGGGGAGUACGGCCGCAAGGCUAAAACUCAAAGGAAUUGACGGGGCCCCGCACAAGCGGCGGAGCAUGCGGAUUAAUUCGAUGCAACGCGUAGAACCUUACCUGGGUUUGACAUGGAUCGGGAGUGCUCAGAGAUGGGUGUGCCUCUUUUGGGGUCGGUUCACAGGUGGUGCAUGGCUGUCGUCAGCUCGUGUCGUGAGAUGUUGGGUUAAGUCCCGCAACGAGCGCAACCCUUGUUCACUGUUGCCAGCACGUUAUGGUGGGGACUCAGUGGAGACCGCCGGGGUCAACUCGGAGGAAGGUGGGGAUGACGUCAAGUCAUCAUGCCCCUUAUGUCCAGGGCUUCACGCAUGCUACAAUGGCUGGUACAGAGAGUGGCGAGCCUGUGAGGGUGAGCGAAUCUCGGAAAGCCGGUCUCAGUUCGGAUUGGGGUCUGCAACUCGACCUCAUGAAGUCGGAGUCGCUAGUAAUCGCAGAUCAGCAACGCUGCGGUGAAUACGUUCCCGGGGCUUGUACACACCGCCCGUCAAGUCAUGAAAGUUGGUAACACCCGAAGCCGGUGGCCUAACCGUUGUGGGGGAGCCGUCGAAGGUGGGACUGGUGAUUAGGACUAAG
This 1447-nucleotide ribosomal RNA is filed under the name uncultured organism. RNAcentral describes it as "16S ribosomal RNA". It matches the Rfam family "Bacterial small subunit ribosomal RNA". The record is from RNAcentral.